Molecule: ribosomal RNA, 450 nt
Filed under: uncultured bacterium
Lineage: Bacteria
Description: bacterial SSU rRNA
Rfam family: Bacterial small subunit ribosomal RNA
Source: RNAcentral
GGACCAGACUCCUACGGGAGGCAGCAGUGGGGAAUAUUGCACAAUGGGGGAAACCCUGAUGCAGCGACGCCGCGUGGGUGACGAAGUAUUUCGGUAUGUAAAGCCCUAUCAGCAGGGAAGAAGAUGACAGUACCUGACUAAGAAGCCCCGGCUAACUACGUGCCAGCAGCCGCGGUAAUACGUAGGGGGCAAGCGUUAUCCGGAUUUACUGGGUGUAAAGGGAGCGUAGACGGCAGCGCAAGUCUGAAGUGAAAUGCCGGGGCUUAACCCCGGAACUGCUUUGGAAACUGUGCAGCUAGAGUGCAGGAGAGGUAAGUGGAAUUCCUAGUGUAGCGGUGAAAUGCGUAGAUAUUAGGAGGAACACCAGUGGCGAAGGCGGCCUGCUGGACGAUGACUGACGUUGAGGCUCGAAAGCGUGGGGAGCAAACAGGAUUAGAUACCCCUGUAAAA